AUUGAACGCUGGCGGCAGGCUUCACACAUGCAAGUCGAGCGAGCGGCGGACGGGUGAGUAAUGUCUGGGAAACUGCCUGAGGGAGGGGGAUAACCACUGGAAACGGUAGCUAAUACCGCAUACCAUCAGAUGGGCCCAGAUGAGAUUAGCUAGUAGGUGGGGUAAUGGCUCACCUAGGCGACGAUCCCUAGCUGGUCUGAGAGGAUGAACAGCCACACUGGAAAGUAGACACGGGCCAUACUGCUACGGGAGGCAGUAGUGGGGAAGAUUGCACAAUGGGCGCAAGCCUGCUGCAGCCAUGCCGCGUGUGUGAAGAAGGCCUUCGGGUUGUAAAGCACUUUCAGCGAGGAGGCGUUACUCGCAGAAGAAGCACCGGCUAACUCCGGGCCAGCAGCCGCGGUAAUAC
RNAcentral lists this ribosomal RNA (406 nucleotides) under uncultured bacterium. RNAcentral describes it as "partial 16S ribosomal RNA". It matches the Rfam family "Bacterial small subunit ribosomal RNA", at positions 29 to 526 of the family's 1533-position model. The record is from RNAcentral.